Molecule: long non-coding RNA, 431 nt
Organism: Astatotilapia calliptera (eastern happy)
Lineage: Eukaryota; Metazoa; Chordata; Actinopteri; Cichliformes; Cichlidae
Source: Ensembl
GAGGAAAGUGAAGCUGCUGUGAGCUGAUGUCCUGAAGGGCUUUUAAAGAGUCUCUGAGUUUGACAGGAACAUGAAGAUGUUUGUGGUGUUUGUGAUCCUCCUGCACGCUGACUACAGCUCACGUGACCAUCCACCAUGUUUCCUCCAACCUGUGAUCAGACUGGUGCUCCACCUGGUGCUGCAAUAAUGCCAAAUAAUUAGCAACUCUAUAAAUAGAAGGUAGUUCUGCAAAAUCACUCAUUAGGAUGUUUGUUCUAAUUUGCUAUGAGCUCAGAGCGCAUAGAAAAUAAAACUAAUAGGCUAUAAAGAGUGAUAUGAACAUAGUUAGAACUUACCGGAAUGAAAAUGUCUGGAGCACCAACAGAUAUUUGGAGAUGGAAGAGAACUGCACGUCAGCUCGUCUCACAGCUGCUAUCCAGGCUAGGCGCCUC